UGAGGAAUAUUGGUCAAUGGACGGAAGUCUGAACCAGCCAAGUAGCGUGCAGGAUGACGGCCCUAUGGGUUGUAAACUGCUUUUAUAUGGGGAUAAAGUGGGUCACGUGUGGCUUAUUGCAGGUACCGUAUGAAUAAGGACCGGCUAAUUCCGUGCCAGCAGCCGCGGUAAUACGAAAGGUCCGGGCGUUAUCCGGAUUUAUUGGGUUUAAAGGGAGCGUAGGCCGUCUGUUAAGCGUGUUGUGAAAUGUCGGGGCUCAACCUGGGCAUUGCAGCGCGAACUGGCAGACUUGAGUGCGCGGGAAGUAGGCGGAAUUCGUCGUGUAGCGGUGAAAUGCUUAGAUAUGACGAAGAACUCCGAUUGCGAAGGCAGCCUGCUGUAGCGUAACUGACGCUGAAGCUCGAAAGCGUGGGUAUCGAACAGGAUUAGAUACCCUGGUAGU
RNAcentral lists this ribosomal RNA (442 nucleotides) under uncultured Prevotella sp. RNAcentral describes it as "bacterial SSU rRNA". It matches the Rfam family "Bacterial small subunit ribosomal RNA", at positions 355 to 794 of the family's 1533-position model. Lineage: Bacteria; Pseudomonadati; Bacteroidota; Bacteroidia; Bacteroidales; Prevotellaceae. The record is from RNAcentral.